Molecule: ribosomal RNA, 253 nt
Filed under: uncultured bacterium
Lineage: Bacteria
Description: partial 16S ribosomal RNA
Rfam family: Bacterial small subunit ribosomal RNA
Source: RNAcentral
UACGUAGGCAGCAAGCGUUGUUCGGAAUUACUGGGCGUAAAGAGUGUGUAGGCGGUGCUCUAAGUCUGUCGUGAAAUCUCCGAGCUUAACUCGGAAAGGUCAACUGAUACUGCGGGGCUAGAGUGCGGAAGGGGCAACUGGAAUUCUUGGUGUAGCGGUGAAAUGCGUAGAUAUCAAGAGGAACACCUGCGGCGAAGGCGGGUUGCUGGGCCGACACUGACGCUGAGGCGCGAAAGCUAGGGGAGCGAACGGG